GGAGCCUGGGUUCUUCUGUGGGACUGGUGCUCCACGGCCGUGGCCUGGGGCUGCUCCUAUCUGAAAUGUCCUCAUGGGUAUUGGAAGCAGUGCCCGUGGAUGCCUUGCCCAGCAAAGUUUUGGAGGCCCUGGUGUAUCCCUGCAGUAGAGAAACAGCUAGGGGCAAGUGACAGGGAAAAGGAUCCUCUGCUUUGCAGGGCUACAGACUAAUGCUUGGAAAAUUUCAAUAUGAGUGGCAUGUCCUGUUCCAGGUUGCCUGGCUGUCCCCGCGGAGCUGGGUUUGGCCACAGCCUCGCCUAUACAAGGGAAGCUGCCCAGGAAGAGAGGGUUGCCAAUAAAGGGAAAGGUUGCCUCCCCCACUGAUAACCCUUAGGACUUGGAGACAGCCUCAGGUGCUGGCUCAGCAGAGGGGUUACCCCAUCCCCUCCCACCUUCCCUACAGGUUGGGCAGGUCUUCAUGUCCCCAGGACACAGUCAGGAAGUUCUGAGGAUGUGAUGCUGGUUGUAUGCAGAAGGCUGUGUGGGGCAUGGCACGGCACGGCACGGCACAGGGUAUCCAGGGGACUCCAUACAGGUGAACACACAGUGCCCCUGGUCACGUGGAAGGGGUGGUUGUGCUAAUCCUGGCCUCUGUCCUCUUCCAGGUGCACUCCCUUCGAGGCUGCUAUCCCAAACACCUGAAGGCAUUGGCUCCCUCCUCUGCCCUUUCUUCUUGUCCUGGGAGACAUAAGCCUGCAGCUGCUGUCAGCCCUACUAAUGUCCUACCAGCAGCACCUCCUCCCUAUCCCCCCACAAUCGUGGUGGCAGGGGAUGGCAUGUCCCAGCUAUGUGCCUCAAUCCCAGCACUGCUCUCUCCUCUUGGGCUCUCAUGAGUAUUGGCUCUGCCCUGGAGCGUGCUGAGCAUGGCUAAGGCUGCACAGGGUACUGGGGUGCAGCGCAGUGUUCCAGCCCCACAAGUCUCCAGACAGGGGGGUGACCUGCUCCCUGACUGCUGCUGGCACUGCCUGGCUUGACACCUCCUAGGGCACUGCCUGUGUCAGCCCCUGCUGCUGCGUCCCCGCGGCUGGAGUGCCCCCAGGUGCCUUGUCUGGUCUGGAAUAAACCCUGCUGAGCCGAGCCAGGACCUGCUGUGACAUCUGUCCCUAAAGGUGCUUCUCUGGUGCCCCAUUGAUGCUAGCAACAACCCACCCCUAGUUUAGCAGCUGGGAAGUCUGGCAAACCAGUCACUCCCCUGGAAGUACCCUUCCCAUGUCUCCAAGGAUGGAACUGUCUCCAACAUAUCCCGUGACUCUGGGAGCCUGGUGGCAUCACCAGGGUUUGCCUAAGGGGUUACACUCCUCCAGCUGGGACUUGGCAGGUGGUCCUGACCUACACUGUUACUCUGGGCCAUGCACUCAUCUAUUCAACUUGGACUCCUGCUGAGAGACCC
This is a non-coding RNA of Sturnus vulgaris (Common starling), 1429 nucleotides long. The record is from RefSeq and is a predicted model, not a curated record. NCBI's taxonomy places the organism in Eukaryota, Metazoa, Chordata, Aves, Passeriformes, Sturnidae.